This 347-nucleotide ribosomal RNA is filed under the name Pellifronia jungi. RNAcentral's name for it is "partial 12S ribosomal RNA". The record is from RNAcentral. Lineage: Eukaryota; Metazoa; Mollusca; Gastropoda; Neogastropoda; Terebridae.
UUACCAGAGUACUAUGAAUUCUUCAAAAUUUAAAACUCAAAGAACUUGGCGGUGUUUUAGACCACUUAGGGGAACCUGUCUCAUAAUCGACGAUCCACGUUUUACCUGACCCUUUUUUGUUUUCAGCCUGUAUACCGUUGUCGUCAGGUAACUUUUUAGAAUUUAAAAGUUAGCUAUAUAAAGUGUAAUUUAGUACGUCAAAUCAAGGUGCAGCUUAUAAUAGGGGGAGGAUGGGUUACAAUUAUUUAUUUAUAAUUUACGGAAUAUUGUGUGAAUUAGCGAUAUAAAGGAGGACUUGAAAGUAAAUUGGAUUAUAUAAGCAAUUUGAAUAAGGCUCUGAAACGUGU